This 73-nucleotide transfer RNA is filed under the name Verrucomicrobiia bacterium. RNAcentral's name for it is "tRNA-Ile". It matches the Rfam family "tRNA". From Rfam's summary of the family: Transfer RNA (tRNA) molecules are approximately 80 nucleotides in length. Their secondary structure includes four short double-helical elements and three loops (D, anti-codon, and T loops). Further hydrogen bonds mediate the characteristic L-shaped molecular structure. tRNAs have two regions of fundamental functional importance: the anti-codon, which is responsible for specific mRNA codon recognition, and the 3' end, to which the tRNAs corresponding amino acid is attached (by aminoacyl-tRNA synthetases). tRNAs cope with the degeneracy of the genetic code in two manners: having more than one tRNA (with a specific anti-codon) for a particular amino acid; and 'wobble' base-pairing, i.e. permitting non-standard base-pairing at the 3rd anti-codon position. Lineage: Bacteria; Pseudomonadati; Verrucomicrobiota; Verrucomicrobiia. The record is from RNAcentral. RNAcentral also lists the same sequence under 1 other name.
GGCUCUGUAGCUCAACGGUUAGAGCAGAGGACUCAUAAUCCUUUGGUUCAGGGUUCGAAUCCCUGCGGAGCCA